This 253-nucleotide ribosomal RNA is filed under the name uncultured bacterium. RNAcentral's name for it is "partial 16S ribosomal RNA". It matches the Rfam family "Bacterial small subunit ribosomal RNA", at positions 524 to 776 of the family's 1533-position model. The record is from RNAcentral.
UACGUAGGGUGCUAGCGUUGUCCGGAUUUAUUGGGCGUAAAGAGCUCGUAGGCGGUCUGUCGCGUCGGCUGUGAAAUCCCGGAGCUCAACUCCGGGUCUGCAGUCGAUACGGGCAGACUGGAGUCCGGUAGGGGCCCACGGAAUUCCUGGUGUAGCGGUGAAAUGCGCAGAUAUCAGGAGGAACACCGAUGGCGAAGGCAGUGGGCUGGGCCGGCACUGACGCUGAGGAGCGAAAGCGUGGGGAGCAAACAGG